RNAcentral lists this ribosomal RNA (253 nucleotides) under uncultured bacterium. RNAcentral's name for it is "partial 16S ribosomal RNA". It matches the Rfam family "Bacterial small subunit ribosomal RNA", at positions 524 to 776 of the family's 1533-position model. The record is from RNAcentral.
CACGUAGGGCGCAAGCGUUGUCCGGAAUUAUUGGGCGUAAAGAGCUCGUAGGCGGUCUGUUGCGUCUGCUGUGAAAACCCGGGGCUUAACCCCUGGCUUGCAGUGGAUACGGACAGACUAGAGGUAGGUAGGGGAGAAUGGAAUUCCCGGUGUAGCGGUGCAAUGCGCAGAUAUCGGGAGGAACACCGGUGGCGAAGGCGGUUCUCUGGGCCUUACCUGACGCUGAGGAGCGAAAGCGUGGGGAGCGAACAGG